Molecule: ribosomal RNA, 487 nt
Filed under: uncultured bacterium
Lineage: Bacteria
Description: bacterial SSU rRNA
Rfam family: Bacterial small subunit ribosomal RNA
Source: RNAcentral
GAUGAACGCUAGCGGCAGGCCUAACACAUGCAAGUCGAGGGGUAACAUAGAAAAGCUUGCUUUUCUGAUGACGACCGGCGCACGGGUGCGUAACGCGUAUACAACCUACCUUUUAGCGGGGAAUAGCCCAGGGAAACUUGGAUUAAUGCCUCAUAGUAUAUAAGCUUCUCCUGAAGUUUAUAUUAAACAUUUAUGGCUAUUAGAUGGGUAUGCGUCCUAUUAGUUAGUUGGUAAGGUAACGGCUUACCAAGGCAGCGAUAGGUAGGGGUCCUGAGAGGGAGAUCCCCACACUGGUACUGAGACACGGACCAGACUCCUACGGGAGGCAGCAGUGAGGAAUAUUGGACAAUGGGCGAGAGCCUGAUCCAGCCAUGCCGCGUGCAGGAAGACUGCCCUAUGGGUUGUAAACUGCUUUUACAGAGGAAGAACCACCCCCACGUGUGGGGGUUUGACGGUACUCUGCGAAUAAGGAUCGGCUAACUUCGUG